Molecule: long non-coding RNA, 1242 nt
Organism: Oncorhynchus gorbuscha (pink salmon)
Lineage: Eukaryota; Metazoa; Chordata; Actinopteri; Salmoniformes; Salmonidae
Exons: 6
Source: RefSeq, a predicted model, not a curated record
UCCAACCUGACAGAACUUGAGAGGAUCUGCAGAGAAGAUUGGGAGAAACUCUCCAAAUACAGGAAAAAGGAUAAGGAAAGAACAGACAAGCUGCCUGAGAGGACAGAUAGACAGUGUGUCUGUCCUGUAUUCUGUUGGAAGACUCAGGGAUUGAACCCCUGCUACUCGUCACGGAACAGAUAAAAUAUGAAGGAGAGGAGAAAACAUGAAGGGGAAAGAGGAAGGUGGAAGUCUCCGGGAUUGAACCCUUACCACUAGGAUUACAUCCUGAAUCCAGGAUGCAACGCUACCACUAGACCAAACUCAAACUAGUCAUGGAACAGAUAAAGUUAUUUUACAGUUCAACCUCCCCAGAGGUCCACAUGAAGAAAAAGCAAGAAUGAACACUCAAAUGAUCAACUUGACCAGGCAGUCCCAGAACCCCUCUCUGGAGAGACCAACCCUCCUCCCAGCAUCACCCCUCUUCCUGGUCCAGUCCAGUGUGUAGACAACCCCUCAGGUGAUCCUGGAGAGGUGGUCUAUGACACACACACAUUUCCCAUCAGACAUCAGCCUCCUGGUCCAGUCCAGUGUGUAGACAACCCCUCAUUCGCCUCCUGUGCAUUUCUUCAGCCAUUCCUGGACCUGUGACCAAAAACAAGCUACAUAUGGACAAUACCAAAAUAAAUGAUCCAAUGACUGCCUCCUCUCAGCAAGAUCUGCAGAGCUUGGUUGCAAGAAUUCUGUAUAGUAAUUUAAAAUGAAAAAUGUAAAGCUUUGAAUCCAGCUUUGUUUUGCGUAUCAAUUCAUAAACAAUGUGCCAUGGAAUGGGUCGAAAAACAUCGAAAAUCUCUUCCCAACUAUUUUGUCAUUUAUAUGGCACAGCUGUCAGUGUUUUGGUCCUUAAAUUAAAUUGCUAUAUGUUUUAAUUUAUCACACUUUUCUUUAAUCGUUUAUGUUCUUUAAUGCAGGGCCGACAUAUAAGUUCCUUACGUUUUUCUCCUUCUACUUGCCUCUUCCAUUUUUUGGUUGUAAUUUUGGGUAGAGCAGACAUUUCUAUAUGUGUGUGUUAGCUGCAUGUGUAACAUAACUCCACCAGUCCUAUUUAUGAUAUCAUUCACUAAGAUUACCUUUUUUUUUUUAAGUUUCUUCGAAAAAUACGUUGGUUUUUUAUUAUAAAUUAGCAUAUUCGAGUUUAACCACAAUAUUAGUUUUAUUAUUUGUUCUGUCUUUUCAGAUGGAUUAAACUGAAAUUGCAACCAA